UCUCCUUACCCAUCUCUUUUCUCUAACCUUCCAUCAUGCCGUCAUCGUAGGACUACCGCCUGUGGCAUAAGUUCCGUCUCCACAAUUCCUGCUACUUAGAAGAGCACUACUAUGCUUCCCCUUCACCCUCAGCAAUGCCAACUGGACCGGCAGCACUAAUGGCCAUCCCUAUAUCUGUCACCCUCACGAGCUCAGCCCUGUACCCAUCCGCACCCUCCGCUCUGCUCCCCUCCUCCGAAAUCCACGACAAAGGACCACCGCACCCGUAAUUUCUUCCCCGAGUGCCUCCAACGCCUGGGAAAAGCGAGAUGCUGGUGCUGUCACUUUGGUAAAAAAAUUCAAUUGGAUUAAUUUGUAACCGAAUCGUCUUCUAUCAGAGGUAGGUAGGUAGGUGUGUGGGUGGAUGGGUGUAACUUAAAAACGCCAACUUUCUUAUUUAUUUAUUCGCCC
This 450-nucleotide long non-coding RNA is filed under the name Amborella trichopoda. Its description in RNAcentral is "long non-coding RNA (ATRI_LNC002710)". The record is from RNAcentral. Lineage: Eukaryota; Viridiplantae; Streptophyta; Magnoliopsida; Amborellales; Amborellaceae.